Molecule: ribosomal RNA, 2906 nt
Filed under: Escherichia coli
Lineage: Bacteria; Pseudomonadati; Pseudomonadota; Gammaproteobacteria; Enterobacterales; Enterobacteriaceae
Description: 23S ribosomal RNA
Rfam family: Bacterial large subunit ribosomal RNA
Source: RNAcentral
GGUUAAGCGACUAAGCGUACACGGUGGAUGCCCUGGCAGUCAGAGGCGAUGAAGGACGUGCUAAUCUGCGAUAAGCGUCGGUAAGGUGAUAUGAACCGUUAUAACCGGCGAUUUCCGAAUGGGGAAACCCAGUGUGUUUCGACACACUAUCAUUAACUGAAUCCAUAGGUUAAUGAGGCGAACCGGGGGAACUGAAACAUCUAAGUACCCCGAGGAAAAGAAAUCAACCGAGAUUCCCCCAGUAGCGGCGAGCGAACGGGGAGCAGCCCAGAGCCUGAAUCAGUGUGUGUGUUAGUGGAAGCGUCUGGAAAGGCGCGCGAUACAGGGUGACAGCCCCGUACACAAAAAUGCACAUGCUGUGAGCUCGAUGAGUAGGGCGGGACACGUGGUAUCCUGUCUGAAUAUGGGGGGACCAUCCUCCAAGGCUAAAUACUCCUGACUGACCGAUAGUGAACCAGUACCGUGAGGGAAAGGCGAAAAGAACCCCGGCGAGGGGAGUGAAAAAGAACCUGAAACCGUGUACGUACAAGCAGUGGGAGCACGCUUAGGCGUGUGACUGCGUACCUUUUGUAUAAUGGGUCAGCGACUUAUAUUCUGUAGCAAGGUUAACCGAAUAGGGGAGCCGAAGGGAAACCGAGUCUUAACUGGGCGUUAAGUUGCAGGGUAUAGACCCGAAACCCGGUGAUCUAGCCAUGGGCAGGUUGAAGGUUGGGUAACACUAACUGGAGGACCGAACCGACUAAUGUUGAAAAAUUAGCGGAUGACUUGUGGCUGGGGGUGAAAGGCCAAUCAAACCGGGAGAUAGCUGGUUCUCCCCGAAAGCUAUUUAGGUAGCGCCUCGUGAAUUCAUCUCCGGGGGUAGAGCACUGUUUCGGCAAGGGGGUCAUCCCGACUUACCAACCCGAUGCAAACUGCGAAUACCGGAGAAUGUUAUCACGGGAGACACACGGCGGGUGCUAACGUCCGUCGUGAAGAGGGAAACAACCCAGACCGCCAGCUAAGGUCCCAAAGUCAUGGUUAAGUGGGAAACGAUGUGGGAAGGCCCAGACAGCCAGGAUGUUGGCUUAGAAGCAGCCAUCAUUUAAAGAAAGCGUAAUAGCUCACUGGUCGAGUCGGCCUGCGCGGAAGAUGUAACGGGGCUAAACCAUGCACCGAAGCUGCGGCAGCGACGCUGAUGCGUUGUUGGGUAGGGGAGCGUUCUGUAAGCCUGCGAAGGUGUGCUGUGAGGCAUGCUGGAGGUAUCAGAAGUGCGAAUGCUGACAUAAGUAACGAUAAAGCGGGUGAAAAGCCCGCUCGCCGGAAGACCAAGGGUUCCUGUCCAACGUUAAUCGGGGCAGGGUGAGUCGACCCCUAAGGCGAGGCCGAAAGGCGUAGUCGAUGGGAAACAGGUUAAUAUUCCUGUACUUGGUGUUACUGCGAAGGGGGGACGGAGAAGGCUAUGUUGGCCGGGCGACGGUUGUCCCGGUUUAAGCGUGUAGGCUGGUUUUCCAGGCAAAUCCGGAAAAUCAAGGCUGAGGCGUGAUGACGAGGCACUACGGUGCUGAAGCAACAAAUGCCCUGCUUCCAGGAAAAGCCUCUAAGCAUCAGGUAACAUCAAAUCGUACCCCAAACCGACACAGGUGGUCAGGUAGAGAAUACCAAGGCGCUUGAGAGAACUCGGGUGAAGGAACUAGGCAAAAUGGUGCCGUAACUUCGGGAGAAGGCACGCUGAUAUGUAGGUGAAGUCCCUCGCGGAUGGAGCUGAAAUCAGUCGAAGAUACCAGCUGGCUGCAACUGUUUAUUAAAAACACAGCACUGUGCAAACACGAAAGUGGACGUAUACGGUGUGACGCCUGCCCGGUGCCGGAAGGUUAAUUGAUGGGGUUAGCCGCAAGGCGAAGCUCUUGAUCGAAGCCCCGGUAAACGGCGGCCGUAACUAUAACGGUCCUAAGGUAGCGAAAUUCCUUGUCGGGUAAGUUCCGACCUGCACGAAUGGCGUAAUGAUGGCCAGGCUGUCUCCACCCGAGACUCAGUGAAAUUGAACUCGCUGUGAAGAUGCAGUGUACCCGCGGCAAGACGGAAAGACCCCGUGAACCUUUACUAUAGCUUGACACUGAACAUUGAGCCUUGAUGUGUAGGAUAGGUGGGAGGCUUUGAAGUGUGGACGCCAGUCUGCAUGGAGCCGACCUUGAAAUACCACCCUUUAAUGUUUGAUGUUCUAACGUGGACCCGUAAUCCGGGUUGCGGACAGUGUCUGGUGGGUAGUUUGACUGGGGCGGUCUCCUCCUAAAGAGUAACGGAGGAGCACGAAGGUUGGCUAAUCCUGGUCGGACAUCAGGAGGUUAGUGCAAUGGCAUAAGCCAGCUUGACUGCGAGCGUGACGGCGCGAGCAGGUGCGAAAGCAGGUCAUAGUGAUCCGGUGGUUCUGAAUGGAAGGGCCAUCGCUCAACGGAUAAAAGGUACUCCGGGGAUAACAGGCUGAUACCGCCCAAGAGUUCAUAUCGACGGCGGUGUUUGGCACCUCGAUGUCGGCUCAUCACAUCCUGGGGCUGAAGUAGGUCCCAAGGGUAUGGCUGUUCGCCAUUUAAAGUGGUACGCGAGCUGGGUUUAGAACGUCGUGAGACAGUUCGGUCCCUAUCUGCCGUGGGCGCUGGAGAACUGAGGGGGGCUGCUCCUAGUACGAGAGGACCGGAGUGGACGCAUCACUGGUGUUCGGGUUGUCAUGCCAAUGGCACUGCCCGGUAGCUAAAUGCGGAAGAGAUAAGUGCUGAAAGCAUCUAAGCACGAAACUUGCCCCGAGAUGAGUUCUCCCUGACUCCUUGAGAGUCCUGAAGGAACGUUGAAGACGACGACGUUGAUAGGCCGGGUGUGUAAGCGCAGCGAUGCGUUGAGCUAACCGGUACUAAUGAACCGUGAGGCUUAACCUU